This 2113-nucleotide long non-coding RNA is filed under the name Hordeum vulgare. Its description in RNAcentral is "long non-coding RNA (HVUL_LNC011205)". Lineage: Eukaryota; Viridiplantae; Streptophyta; Magnoliopsida; Poales; Poaceae. The record is from RNAcentral.
GCAGCGUGAAGUUUUGUAACGGCUUGAGAAAAAGGAGAAAAUAAAGAGGGUAAAUUAGGGCACGACAAGGGCCCUUGGCUACAUGAUUUUGUGUGCGCGUGUUCAUUAUGUGUUGAUGUGAUCGAUCCGUGGACGGAGUUCCAACAAUUGGUAUCUAGAGCAAGGUCGAGGUGAAGUUGCGCUUGCCCCGGGGAGGCGACCCGACUAGCGCCUCGGGGCAGGCGAUAUGGUCGCUGGGUGGUGCAGCGACGAGGAGCGGCGGGCAAUAGUCGUUCGUGGAGCGACGGAUGUGGAGGUUCAGGAGAUCGUCGUUCGCCGAAGCGGCAAGGAGGGACAACAGGCUGACGUCGGCAAGGCGGUGGAAGAAAAUCGUUGACGGGAGCGAUGGUGCCAAGGUGCGGUGCUGAGAAACCAUCAAGGUCGUCGCCCACGGGAGUUGGAGUCAAGGAGUCGUGCGGGUUUGCACGGUCAGUCGGUUGUCGUCAUCGUGUCUGAGUCGACAUGUCCAAGUACUCAUCUCUGUGAGGAGGUGUUGAAGAUGAAGCUCAUGUCGUCUAUGUGUCUCGACGGGAGGAUCAAGUUCAAGUAUGUGGGGACGGUAAUCCAGUGAAGGUGAGUCUCUUCAAUGAGGCCAUGUCUCUACAUGAGGCUGGAGUGCAUGGUGUAGUGCACGGGGUGAUGUGAUCCACAAGGAGUCGGCAUGUAUCUCUUUAGGGUGGAUGGUAUAGUCCACCGGGUGGUGUAUUCCACAUGUUACUGGCAAGGUUGGGUAGCCCAAAGCAUAUUUGACAUGAUCCGUAAAUUCGCCAAGUUGAAAUUGGAGAGAGAUUGUUGCAAUCAAUGAAGCCUAUCAAUUUGACUUGUCAUGGUGCGAGGUGAAUGAGUCGACAAGGGAUGAAUCUUCAAGGAGCAAGACCGGAGAAGCAUAGAAAACAAAGUGUCAAGAUUAGGAAGAGUUUGUUAGUAUAAUCUUGAUUGUGAUACAUGUGUUUUCAGUAGUAUACGGUAUCCGGGUCAAGCUGAGUUUGGUAAUUAUGAUCAACGUUGCCGGAUCAUUAGAUUAGGAAAGUAACAUAGCCGAGUCCGGUUAAGUUUGGUAAUUAUGAUCAACGUUGCCGGAUCAUUAGAUUAGGAAAGUAACAUGGCCGAGUCCGGUUAGGAGUCUGGUCAUUAUCUUCAAGUAGGACUAGUUUGGGUCGGCUUAGGCGUUGAUCCUGGAGGCAGUAUAUAUAUAUGACUUGAGAAAAAGGAGAAAAUAAAGAGGAAAAAUUAGGGCACGACAAGGACCCUUGGCUACAUGAUUUUGUGUGUGCGUGUUCAUCUUGUGUUGAUGUGAUCGAUAUGUGGGUGGAGUUACAACAAACCAACUGUUCAAACAUUGAAGCGCGGAAUAAUCCGAUGGAAGCUCCUGGCAUAGUUAUAAAAGGUGUGCCUAAGCGAGCGCUUAAGUGCGCCUAAACUCUAGGAGAUAGCAAAACGCCUAGCGCAUAAAUAUGCUUAAUCUACGCAUAAGCAUGUGCUUUGGUCAGAAAAGCGCAAGGCGAUGGCAAAACGCACCCUUAACGCUUAGCGCUUUUUUGAACUAUGGCUGCUGGUACUCUUACUGAAGUAAGGUGAUCCUGUUGCGCUACUGUUCUUAGUCCUAGUGCCAAUUUUCAUUCACAUCAUGGUUUGGUUCAUAUUUUUGAAUAUGCUAGAGCGCAUAAGAAAUCUUUUGGAAUUUUUGCUAAGCACGUAGAGUAUAGGAACGUCUAUUAGUAAGUUACCUGCAAAAGGUUCAGUUUUUAGUCGAUUGUUGCAUCGUGUCUUCAUCUUCCUUGCAUUCCCACCGAUGCCUUAGUUUGCCCUCGUGGACCCGCCGUGUGCCACAAGACAAGCCACCGUCCCUGCCUCGAGCAGACUUUGCUGCCUGCCCAUGCCCUUCACAAGCUACCACCAUUCGAGACAUCCCUCUAACCCCUCCCCCAUUUCUCUACAUGGGUGCCCUCUACCCCAAUAUUUUGGAUUUCAUUUUGCAAAAUAUACCACCCCAGAACGAAACUGGCGAAAUUCAGUAUUCUAGAAAAUUCUGAAUGAAAAGCACCAUCCAAAAUUUGAAUUUGAAUUCUUGAAC